UGAGAUGAUUUAUGAAGCUCUUGAUGAACUAAAUCAAGAAGGGGGUGCAAACAAGUCAUCAAUAAGCAAGUACAUUGAAACAAAGUAUGGAGAUCUGAAUGAAGAUCUUUCAAAGAUGCUACCUUUACAUUUGGACAACAUGAAGCAAAAUGGAGAUCUGAUUUUCCUCAAGAACAAUUACAUCAAACCUGGUCCAGAUGUUCCAGCAAAGAGGGGUCGUGGUAGGCCACCAAAACCCAAAGCUCCAUUGCCUCCUGGUGCUGUUGAAUCUGUUGAACCUGCAUCACCAAGGCCAA
RNAcentral lists this unclassified non-coding RNA (296 nucleotides) under Hevea brasiliensis (rubber tree). The record is from RNAcentral. Lineage: Eukaryota; Viridiplantae; Streptophyta; Magnoliopsida; Malpighiales; Euphorbiaceae.